Molecule: transfer RNA, 66 nt
Filed under: Osteobrama cunma
Lineage: Eukaryota; Metazoa; Chordata; Actinopteri; Cypriniformes; Cyprinidae
Description: tRNA-Cys
Rfam family: tRNA
About the family: Transfer RNA (tRNA) molecules are approximately 80 nucleotides in length. Their secondary structure includes four short double-helical elements and three loops (D, anti-codon, and T loops).
Source: RNAcentral
AGCCUUGUGGUGUAAAACAUAUUGGAUUGCAAAUCCAAAGUCGUGGAUUAAUACCCGCCGGGGCUU